Molecule: ribosomal RNA, 510 nt
Filed under: uncultured bacterium
Lineage: Bacteria
Description: bacterial SSU rRNA
Rfam family: Bacterial small subunit ribosomal RNA
Source: RNAcentral
CCUGGCUCAGGAUGAACGCUGGCGGCGUGCUUAACACAUGCAAGUCGAACGAAGCACUUUUUUACGAUCCCUUCGGGGUGACGAAUUUGUGACUGAGUGGCGGACGGGUGAGUAACGCGUGAGGAACCUGCCUUUCAGUGGGGGACAACAGUUGGAAACGACUGCUAAUACCGCAUAACACUUUUUGGGGACAUCCCGAAAAGUCAAAGCUUUAUGUGCUGAAAGAUGGCCUCGCGUCUGAUUAGCUAGUUGGCGGGGUAACGGCCCACCAAGGCGACGAUCAGUAGCCGGUCUGAGAGGAUGAACGGCCACAUUGGGACUGAGAUACGGCCCAGACUCCUACGGGAGGCAGCAGUGGGGAAUAUUGGUCAAUGGGCGAGAGCCUGAACCAGCCAAGUAGCGUGCAGGACGACGGCCCUAUGGGUUGUAAACUGCUUUUAUAAGGGAAUAAAGUGAGUCUCGUGAGACUUUUUGCAUGUACCUUAUGAAUAAGGACCGGCUAAUUCCGUG